CAGGGCUCCCUGUGACCCAGUGACCGGGCAGUGUGUGUGCAAGGAGCAAGUGCAGGGAGAGCGCUGUGACCUAUGCAAGCCGGGCUUCACUGGACUCACCUAUGCCAACCCGCAGGGCUGCCACCGCUGUGACUGCAACAUCCUGGGGUCCCGGAGGGACAUGCCGUGUGACGAGGAGAGUGGGCGCUGCCUUUGUCUGCCCAACGUGGUGGGUCCCAAAUGUGACCAGUGUGCUCCCUACCACUGGAAGCUGGCCAGUGGCCAGGGCUGUGAACCGUGUGCCUGCGACCCGCACAACUCCCUCAGCCCACAGUGCAACCAGUUCACAGGGCAGUGCCCCUGUCGGGAAGGCUUUGGUGGCCUGAUGUGCAGCGCUGCAGCCAUCCGCCAGUGUCCAAACCGGACCUACGGAGAUGCGGCCACAGGAUGCC
Molecule: long non-coding RNA, 431 nt
Filed under: Pan troglodytes (chimpanzee)
Lineage: Eukaryota; Metazoa; Chordata; Mammalia; Primates; Hominidae
Description: long non-coding RNA NONPTRT001423
Source: RNAcentral